UACAGAGGUCUCAAGCGUUGUUCGGAUUCAUUGGGCGUAAAGGGUGCGUAGGCGGCGCGGUAAGUCGGGUGUGAAAUCUUGGAGCUUAACUCCGAAACUGCAUUCGAUACUGCCGUGCUUGAGGACUGGAGAGGAGACUGGAAUUUACGGUGUAGCGGUGAAAUGCGUAGAUAUCUGGAGGAACACCGGUGGCGAAGGCGGCAUCCUGGACCGGUAUUGACGCUGAGGCGCGAAAGCUAGGGGAGCAAACGGG
RNAcentral lists this ribosomal RNA (253 nucleotides) under uncultured bacterium. RNAcentral describes it as "partial 16S ribosomal RNA". It matches the Rfam family "Bacterial small subunit ribosomal RNA", at positions 524 to 776 of the family's 1533-position model. The record is from RNAcentral.